This 431-nucleotide ribosomal RNA is filed under the name uncultured bacterium. RNAcentral describes it as "partial 16S ribosomal RNA". It matches the Rfam family "Bacterial small subunit ribosomal RNA", at positions 29 to 507 of the family's 1533-position model. The record is from RNAcentral.
AACGAACGCUGGCGGCAGGCCUAACACAUGCAAGUCGAGCGCCCCGCAAGGGGAGCGGCGGACGGGUGAGUAACGCGUGGGAACGUACCCUUUGCUACGGAAUAGCCUCGGGAAACUGGGAGUAAUACCGUAUGUGUCCUUCGGGAGAAAGAUUUAUCGGCAAGGGAUCGGCCCGCGUUGGAUUAGGUAGUUGGUGGGGUAAUGGCCUACCAAGCCGACGAUCCAUAGCUGGUUUGAGAGGAUGAUCAGCCACACUGGGACUGAGACACGGCCCAGACUCCUACGGGAGGCAGGAGUGGGGAAUCUUAGACAAUGGGCGCAAGCCUGAUCUAGCCAUGCCGCGUGAGCGAUGAAGGCCUUAGGGUUGUAAAGCUCUUUCAGGGGGGAAGAUAAUGACUGUACCCCCAGAAGAAGCCCCGGCUAACUCCGUG